This 7040-nucleotide long non-coding RNA is filed under the name Homo sapiens (human). RNAcentral describes it as "HSALNT0216139". The stretch from base 4461 to 4608 matches the Rfam family "Metazoan signal recognition particle RNA". The record is from RNAcentral. Lineage: Eukaryota; Metazoa; Chordata; Mammalia; Primates; Hominidae.
CUGGGAUUGAGUCCUGCUUGCCUCUGUCAGGGGAUGUCCUUAGGCAAGUCCCUUAACAUGCAUGUGCCUCAGUUUUGUCACCUGUAGCCCAGUGCCUCAUGGUGCCAAGGAGGUCACAAGCAUGAAGCCCCUGGCAGGGUGUGCCGGGCACGUGUGCACAUGCCCCCUGGAGGGGAUUCAUCAUCGCGGGCGGAGCUCUGCAGUUCCAGCCUCCUGAGGGUCCUGAUGCCUCACGAGGCCAAGAGGCAAAGGGUUUUGUAACUUACAUAACCGCAGAGAAAGGCAAGGUUGCUGCUCACAAUGAUGCUUUCACAGGGCGGCUCUGGGACGGCAUCCUCACCCGACUAUAUGGAAUUCCACAUCCUUUCCGAAUCUUGGUGUUACACAAUAGUCACUGAGAUAUCAUGUACCCCAUUAACGUUGAGACUUUUAUGUAUUUACAAUUCAGCUUAAAUUUUUACCCAGAGAAGUUUUCAAAAUGUAACAUGUGUUAGUCACUGUGUGAAUUGCGAAACCAAGGAAAUAUCUCCAAAGUGCUGGCCUUGACAAUGUAAUCUGGCAAGGCUUGGGGAGGAAUAAAAAUAACACUUCUCAGCAUCGCCGUCUCUGAGGGCAGGAGUGAUCUGGAGCCCUCCCCAAGCCCACAGAAGACAUGGCUGUGGAGUGUCGGUGCACCAGGGUCUGCCGGGUCCCCGCCUCCCCAUCCUUCCAAGAGGCACCAGCUGCAAGGCACGUGCAUGUGCCCUCCUGACCCCCCGGUCCCCAAAGAGCCUGCUCCCGUCACUCCAGGCAGGCACUGUUGCUGGGAUUUCAAGGCAGCUGAGUGCAGAGCCCACUGCAGAGGCAUCAGCCCCUCCCAGGCCUCUAGGAAACCUGCUCCUCCCCUCCCUCCACAGGCAUCUGCUUACAGCGCCAGCGGUGCCUCGUGCUCCACCUGGAGCACCACUGUCUGUCAGGGACACGGGCUCCCAGAGGGCUGCACGUGAAUGAUUUCCGACCCUCACAACAGCCAGGAAGUAGGGACUGGGAUUGUUCCCAUUCUGUAGAUGAGAAGACUGAGGCUUGGGAUAACGUGCUUGCCCAAGUUGGCAUGGGCAGUACAAGACAAAGCUGGGGUUGCAAAUGAUCACGCUUCCUAUUCUGAAUAUUUCUUUUUCUGCCACCUUCUCCUCUGAGUGCUGGCUUUCCCUACUUACCAAGCCCCCAGCUGCUCACUGCGGUGCCAGAGCACCCAAGAGCCUCCUCUGGCAGUGCCAUGGCCCACAGCACACUCCCCUUGGCUCUAUCAGGCCUCCCUUUUGGCUUGAGUGCCACCCACUCACUCCUCUCCUGCUUUCUGGCAUCGUUAUUUAAUUGUCCAACCCUGGUCUGCUCAGUUAGACCGUAAACUCUGAGAGGACGAGGAGUCUUCGCCGGCUGCCCCCCGGGCCUGGCCUGGGGCUGCCACGUAGCUGAAUCUCAGCCACACUUGCUGUAGAAUGAUUUGUUAUUAUUCUCUGAGGCUGGGUUUCCACGUGGCUGGGCACAGGAGGACAGAGUCCCCCUCCCCGUCCAGGUCCUUGGCUGGCCAGCAUUUCAAAUGAUAUUGUUUCAUAUUAAAUUAUUUUAAAUUCCAUGGACCCUGGUUUCACAAUCAAAUAAUUCGAUCUUGUUUACAAAUGGAAUUUUUAGUUUUUGACGGUUUCUUGCUUUGCUGGGCUGGACGGUCAGUGAAUGCGUGUCCUCCCGUGCCCUCCAGUCCAUCUCUGUUGCCUUCCCCGGGAUGCCGUGGAGGCCGGGAACCGUCCCCAGGAGUGGGGACGUGGUCAGGAGGGUGGGGUCAGGCAGCCCUGUGCAGGCAGACAGCUCACAGUGCUCGGGGCCUGGAGGCGGGGGCGUUCUCUGCUUGCCCUCUUCCAGCUCUAGACAUGAGAAAACCCACAAAGAACAGAAUUGGAAGGGAUCUUUGACACACGUGAUUCCAACAUCCCCUUUUACAGUUAGGAAACUGAGGCACAAGAUCCUGGUUCUUGGGGUUGGGCCUUGGACCCAGCACUGGGUCUUUGCACAGCCUCCUCAGGACUGAUCCACACUUUGUUCUCUUCCCCACCAACCCCAUCACUUCCCGUUAGGUGCCACUUACUGCUUUCACCUACCGAGACAGAGAGAGGGAAAAGUGUGACCUCUGACCUCUAGGAGCUAGGAACCCAGUGUUGGGAGGGGAGCUGCGGAGGAGGAGACAAAGGAGGCACAAUGAGGUGGACCCUACGGGGUUGGGAGGAGCUUGGAAGGCAGUUCAGAAAGGACACGUAGGAGAAGGCAGGGUGGGACUGUGGGACAGCAGGCCGGGCGCAUCCAGCGGCGUUUGCAAAGCCGGAGAAGUGGCCAAGCUCAGUGGCUGUGGCCAGAUGCCAUUUGUGGCAGUUGAUGAGAAUCUUGUGACUAUUUUAACCGAUGUGUUAAACUUCACUCUCCCCCUGUCAGUCUCCUUGUCACCUUGGAGAAUGUUAUUAGUCAAGGUUCUCCAGAGAAACAGAACCAACAGAAUGUACACACAUGCACACACAUACACAUGCACACACACACACAUACACACGCACACACACACACACACAAACAGGGAUUUAUUGUAAAGAACUGGCUCCUGGAAUAACUGAAUUGAUAAGUCCCAAGAUUUUCAGUCAGCAAGCUGGAGACCCAGAAGAGGCUACUAGGGACUAGACAUGUCCCCCCAAAAUUCAUAUGGUGGACCCCAACCUCCAAUGUGAUGGUCUUAGGAGGUGGGGUGUUUUGAAGGUGAUUAGGUCAGGAGGGUGGAGCGCUAAUGAACGAAAUUAGUGCCCUUAUAAGAAGAGACAGGGCAGCUCUCUCUCUCUGAUCUCUGUCACAUUAGGACGUAGAGAGAGGAAGGCCAGCAGUAAGUGGGCCCUCACCAAAAUCAAAUUGGCAGCACCGUGGUGCUGGACUUCCAGCCUCCUGAAUGGUGGGAAAUGAAUAUUUGAUGCUUAAGCCACACAGUCUACAGCAGCCCGAGCUUAGACAGAGCGGACGUUUCAGUUCAAGUCCAAAGGCAGGAAAAAGCUAGACAUUCAGCUCAAAGGCUGGCAGGCAAGAGGAAUUCUAUCUUACUCAGGGGACGGGACCCCCUUUGUCCUAUUCAGGCUGUCAACUGAUUGGAUGAGGCCCACCCAUAUUAGGGAGGGGAAACUGCUUUACCUGGCCCACUGAUUCCAAUGUGAGUCUCAUCCCCAAGCCCCUCACAGAAACACCCAGAGUGAUGUCUGGUCAAAUAUCUGGGCGCUGUGGCCCCGCCAAGUUGACACUGAAAUUAACCCUCGCAGAGGCCGCCUCUUUAUCACGGGACACAUGCUUGGAGCCCCUCUUCUGGAACUUUCUCUAAGCGAGUGACAGUAUGGGGCAGAUGGGUGUCAUUGCUCUGUGGUCACUUGAUGGGUGACCUGGGUUGGCCCUGUGUACCUACCCACUGGGCUUGGCUCAGAAUGGCAUCCUGCUGUUUCCACAAGUCAGCUGGCUCUCCAGGGUCAGGAUGGAACCUGCUGAGGAGAUCACAGAUGGCCCUGACUCCACACGCUGCCCCAGAGGGCCCCAAGGCAGGCAUCUGAGCCAGCCCCGGCUGCAGAGGUUGACUCAGGAAAGCACCAGGGAAAGUUGGUUGUUAAUAUCCCAGUCCAAUUUUUUUUGACUGGGCCUAAAGGCAGGGACUUCCUUCUAUAAAAUCUGGGAGCUGAGUGCAGGGCAGGCCUGACAAGGCGUGAGGAGCUGCCUGUGGACUUCGGCUCUCCCAGUGAGUCCAGGAGCUGCCCUGGGCCCUGGCGGCCCCUCCUCAUCCCCACCUCUCUGCUGCACCACUAUGGCCUCAAGGUCCCUGCACUGCCUCAUAAAGCUGUCCCCAAGUCAGGCUCCUGUGAGCGCGCCGGGCAUCAGAACUCUGGCUGGUGGACCCACAGAGGCCCGGGGUAAUAGCCAUGAGAAGAACAGGCCACCACGCUCAGACUGGGAAGCACCCAGCCUGCGGGAUGGCCAGAGACACUCAUCCAGGGCCAUGAGAGUGUGAAUCAGUCGAGUACAAUAUGCAUAACCAGUGUGGCCAGAACCGGUGCUUUGAGGUGUCUAACUCCUGGUGUCCUACCAUCCCAACACUGUUGAUUAAUGGCGAAAGAUGGGGCAUUGGGGAGGUCUGUGUCUAUGCUUGGUGGCACCUAAGAAAGAGCAAGGCAUUUAUCUGCAUGGAUUGAGAUAGACAGGUCUCUAAAAUAAACAAGGCAAAGAACGCAAGAGGCUGAACCAAAGUAUGAUCCAUUUGGGGCUUAACAAAUAGAUAGUAUAGGCAGCGCGGUGGCUCACGCCUGUAAUCCCAGCACCUUGGGAGGCUGAGGUGGGCAGAUCACCUGAGGUUGGGAGUUCCAGACCAGCCUGAGCAAUAUGGUGAAACCCUGUCUUUACUAAAAAUACAAAAAUUAGCUGGGCAUGGUGGUGCACGCCUGUAAUCCCAGCUACUCAGGAGGCUGAGGCGGGAGAAUCGCUUGAACCCGGGAGGUGGAGGUUGCAGUGAGCUGAGAUCAUGCCACUGCACUCCAGCCUGGGUGACAGAGGGAGACCCUGUCUCAAAAAAAAAAAAAAAAAAUAGAUGGGGUAGAUGCUUUUGGAAGAAUAUGCAGUCACUGCUCACACCAGCAUGGAACAAGUGGACUGGGGUUACUGCCUGGCGAGUCUCUUUCAGGUCCCUGAAUGCAGUUAACUCAGCGAGUCCUGAGUUCCCCAGGAGGUGGGCAUUCCCAUCUUACCCACGUUGCAGAUGAAGACACUGAGGUGCAUAGAUGACUUACUUUCAGAAAAUGUCAACAGGGUGCUCUGCAGAGGGGCAUGGGCUUUUAUGCCUUUAUUAUGCUUUUCUGUAUUAAAAGAAAAAUACAGUCAUGUGAUUUUAGAAACUCAACCCAUGGAAGAGAGAAUACUGGGUCUGUAGGAAAUCUGCAAAGUGGGAAAGAUACUUCUGGGCUUGGUGGUGGCACCUUGGAGCCUGCUUACGGAAAUCACCUCUCGUUCCCGUGAUGCUGAAAGCAGAAUGCUGGACAUGGAAGAACCGCGGUACUCGAGCUUCGUCUGCUGCCCCACACCCCACUGGCUGUUGCAAGAGUGACGUUGCCAUUGGUGACUGCAGGUCUCCCAGCAGCCUGGUGCAGAGAGGCCACUUCAGGCUCGAACAGAGGCCCGGGUUUCCACGGGAGACAGCAGAGCCACGGUGUAGCAGGCAUCCAGCUCUCCCCCGAUCAGUUCCGUGACUUGUCGGAAGGCCCUCCCUCCCGGUCAGACGAAGAAAGGACUGGUGGCCUCUGGGGAUCCUGAGCCUGUCUCCAUGGGAACCAGCUCACCCACCCCCUCUCUGGCACCAGAACAUUCUUCCAGAGCUUCACUGGAGCCUUCCUCUUCAGCAUGACCGUCCCUGGCCACCUGAUCCAGAGCUGGCGGCUCCCAGGCAUAGCCCAUCCCUGCUGCGGCUCUGCACUGCCCCAGUCCUCACCUGCAUGCAGGGGACUAUUCACAUGCUGACCGUCUGUCCAUCUCCCGUAAGAACGUCGGCUCCUUCCACGUCUGCUGGGCGUGGAGGAUCCCUCACAGCCUCCCCGACCUCAGAGCCAUGAGAGACUUGCAAAGCUUGAAACAAACUCUGAAAGGACUCUUCACAGAUAAAUUCCUCCAGGUGCAUGUUUCAAACAAUUUUAUUAUCUAACCCAAGAGUAAGUUAGCAAUCGAUUUCCUAAUCUUUAUUGAUUGGCAGUGGGCAGGCUAGUGUGAUUAAAGAUGUGAGAGAGACUUGCCAAAUAAAAUGCAUGAGCAGCCUUCAUGAGCUUAGCUCCAAUGUGCAGAGUGAUAGGGUCAGGGAAGUGUGUGUAUGUGUGCAUGAUUGUGUGAGAUCAGGGUAGUGUGUGUGUGUGUGUGUGUGUGUGACAUCAGGGCAGUGGGUGUGUGAGAGAGAUCAGGGCAGUGUGUAUGUGUAUGUGUGAGAUCAGGGCAGUGUGCGUGUGUGUGUGUGUGUGACAUCAGGGCAGUGUGUCUGUGUGCAUGAGUGUGUGAGAUCAGGGCAGUGUGUGUGCAUGAGUGUGAUAUCAGGGCAGUAUGUGUGUGUCUGUGUGUGUGUGUAUGAUAUCAGGGCAGUGUGUGUGUGUCUGUGUGUGAGGUUAGGGCAGUGUGUGUUUGUGUGCAUGAGUGUGUGAGAUCAGGACAGUAUGUGAGAGAGAGAGAUCAGGGCAAAGGGCAGUGUUUGUGUGAGAUUAGGGCAGAGUGUGUGUGUGUGUGUAUGAGAUCAGGGCAGUGUGUGUGUGUGUGCAUGAGUGUGUGAGAUCAGGGUAGUGUGUGUGUGUGACAUCAGGGCAGUGUUUGUGUGUUUGUGUGAGAUCAGGGCAGUGUGUGUGUGUGCACGAGUGUGUGAGAUCACGGAAGUGUGUGUGUCAGGUCACCACAGUGUAUGUGCGGGUAUGCGUGUGUGUGUGCACAGGGAACACACGGACAGCCAUUCCAAGUACACACUCUCCUUGGGUAAAUCUGUGAGUAAUCAUUGCUCCAGCAGUGAGAGCCCGUGAGGGUGGUGCAGGAAGACUGUGGCCUGCCUCCUGAGGGAAGCAUUAAAAAAACAGUCAAAGGAAAACGAACUCAGCUCUCCCAGGGUGGAGGACGUGGAGGUGGGCAGCCAGGGAACAAAUCUGGUUGCUGCGAGCCUGUCAGAAAGGGCCCUAGUGCCCUGCCAGGAGGAAGGACUCUGGGCCAUGAGCAUGAUGGUCUUUGAAGGCCAGGAGAGCUAGCCUACCCCAGCUCUGCCACUAACUGUGCGACUCACGGUCACAUGAUGAUACCUCCUGGGCCCCAUAUACUUUAUCUGCAAAUGGGAAGAAGCACAGCCUCUGUGUCCACAGUGCUGUUGAGGUUGGAUCGGGGCUAACUGGCAAUCAGACAUGUGUCUAUAAAUGCCGGCGAGCCAGGCAGAGCCCAGGCCUGAGAGUCCACCAGGGUGGCAGGCCUUAAUCCGCGCUGCACAGAUCUGU